Long non-coding RNA from Ictalurus punctatus (channel catfish), 1360 nucleotides. Lineage: Eukaryota; Metazoa; Chordata; Actinopteri; Siluriformes; Ictaluridae. The record is from Ensembl.
GUGACAGUGGCUUUGGUUGGGACAUAGUGGGUGACUCUACUCUGUCUUUCGGUAUGUAUAUUAAGUCGUACAUUAAGUCGGCAUGUCCAGGACCCAGCUGUCAGUCCAUCUGUGUGACAGACUUCAGGUGGCCUCAUCCUUACCAGCUGACCACUGUUGCAACUCAGUGUGGCCUUGGCUAGGUCUAACUGACAGCCAUGGUCUCUCAGAAAGUCCAAGCUCAGAAUACAACUGUCCUGCACUUCAGUUAUUCACACAAGAUGCUGAAUGUUCUUGCCCCCCACAGUCAAUAUCAACAAACCUCUCCCUUUCAUGGGAGCUAGCCCACCAGCCACUGUCCAGAGCUGAACCAUUGUGCCCUCCAACUGUGUCCCUUCUGGCACCACAUCUGGUGAACCACUGUAACUGUAGACCCUGUGUUAACUAGAGCUGUGCAUGAAAUUCCCUCAUUACAGAUGGGAAUGUGGCAAAAGUCUGAUAUGCCGUUCUGCCCACCACCACUAUCACAAGUUCAUCAGGCCUGGCAGUGAGGGUCUGCAGUGUCCCGCCUACUGUACCCCCUUUCUGAUUGCCACUACUUUAGCCUGGUCAGGGCAUUCUCUAACCAGAUGACCCAGGUGACCUAGAUGACCACACCCCCAGCAAAGACAGGUUUGUGUUUUCUGUCACAUGGGCAGAGGCACAGCCAACCCCCGAAUCAUCUCUAUAAUCUCAUCCAGCCACUCUGGUUUUUGUGCUGCCAUUUCACUGCUUACAACUGCCCUGACGUUGGUGGUGGAGUCCUUUGACGACCACGCAUGGUCAUCUCAACUGACAUUUUUCUCUCCAGUGCUAACUCCAGGGCCUCAGACAAAUCAUGUGGGCAUGCAAGCUGUGUAUGAAUGCGCAGCUCUGCUGGGGAAAGGGCUCUGAUGAACUGAUCGCGGCAUGACCCAGAUUACUUGCUGCACUCACUCCGGCAUAUUCAUCAUCUUCCUCCAUCUUACCACAAACUGAAUUAUCCAUCUUCUCCAGCAGCAGACAGCAGCUGCGUGGCUAAUGCUCAACCUUAAAUCAGCGAGUGUACCUCACAGCUGUCUUCAAUUGUUUUACUUCUCACAGCAUUUGUAGCGUUCUUCGACAAGGAUGCAAUGCUGUUGUCGGCCACACCCGGCUUGUUUCAGAGAACCUCACCAGAACAACGUGAACUCCUCUCUUCUCCCCCUCCCCAGAGCCCCUCACACACUCUCACACACACACGGAGUGGGACCUCCUCCUCACUUGACCCAAACAUUUAAUAACAGUUCCCCAACAUUAACUGAAAAAAGUUAAAUCUUUUACAAUAAACACAUUAUUUCCCUUAAAACAAUAUCAACAUUCU